GGCUAACUCCGUGCCAGCAGCCGCGGGUAAUACGGAGGGUGCGAGCGUUAAUCGGAAGUUACUAGGGCGUAAAGCGCAUGCAGGCGGCCUGUUAAGUCAGAUGUGAAAGACCCGGGGCGUUAACCUCGGAAUUGCAUUUGUAAACUGGCAGGCUAGAGUCGUUGUAGAGGGGGGUAGGAAUUUCUAGGUGUAGCGGUGAAAUGCGUAGAGAUCUGAAGGAAUACCAGUGGCGAAGGCGGCCCCCCUGGACAAAGACUGACGCUCAGAUGCGAAAAGCGUGGGGAGCAAACAGGAUUAGAUACCCUGGUAG
RNAcentral lists this ribosomal RNA (310 nucleotides) under uncultured bacterium. RNAcentral's name for it is "bacterial SSU rRNA". It matches the Rfam family "Bacterial small subunit ribosomal RNA", at positions 495 to 793 of the family's 1533-position model. The record is from RNAcentral.